Molecule: ribosomal RNA, 1067 nt
Filed under: Pseudocamarosporium sp. NW-2015a
Lineage: Eukaryota; Fungi; Ascomycota; Dothideomycetes; Pleosporales; Didymosphaeriaceae
Description: SSU rRNA
Rfam family: Eukaryotic small subunit ribosomal RNA
Source: RNAcentral
CAUGUCUAGUAUAGCAUUAUACCGUGAAACUGCGAAUGGCUCAUUAAAUCAGUUAUCGUUUAUUUGAUAGUACCUUACUACUUGGAUAACCGUGGUAAUUCUAGAGCUAAUACAUGCUAAAAACCCCAACUUCGGGAGGGGUGUAUUUAUUAGAUAAAAAACCAAUGCCCUUCGGGGCUCCUUGGUGAUUCAUAAUAACUUCUCAGAUCGCAUGGCUUUACGCCGGCGACGGUUCAUUCAAAUUUCUGCCCUAUCAACUUUCGAUGGUAAGGUAGUGGCUUACCAUGGUUUCAACGGGUAACGGGGAAUUAGGGUUCGAUUCCGGAGAGGGGGCCGGAGGAACGGCCACCACAUCCAAGGAAGGCAGCAGGCGCGCAAAUUACACAAUUCCGAUACGGAGAUGUAGUGACAAUAAAUACUGAUACAGGGCUCUUUUGGGUCUUGUAAUUGGAAUGAGUACAAUUUAAACCUCUUAACGAGGAACAAUUGGAGGGCAAGUCUGGUGCCAGCAGCCGCGGUAAUUCCAGCUCCAAUAGCGUAUAUUAAAGUUGUUGCAGUUAAAAAGCUCGUAGUUGAACCUUUGGCCUGGCUGGCAGGUCCGCCUCACCGCGUGCACUUGUCCGGCCGGGCCUUUUCUUCUGGAGAACCGCAUGCCCUUCACUGGGUGUGUUGGGGACCAGGACUUUUACUUUGAAAAAAUUAGAGUGUUCAAAGCAGGCCUUUGCUCGAAUACGUUAGCAUGGAAUAAUAGAAUAGGACGUGCGGUCCUAUUUUGUUGGUUUCUAGGACCGCCGUAAUGAUUAAUAGGGACAGUCGGGGGCAUCAGUAUUCAAUUGUCAGAGGUGAAAUUCUUGGAUUUAUUGAAGACUAACUACUGCGAAAGCAUUUGCCAAGGAUGUUUUCAUUAAUCAGUGAACGAAAGUUAGGGGAUCGAAGACGAUCAGAUACCGUCGUAGUCUUAACCAUAAACUAUGCCGACUAGGGAUCGGGCGGUGUUUCUAUUGUGACCCGCUCGGCACCUUACGAGAAAUCAAGUGUUUGGGUUCUGGGGGGGAGUAUGGUCGCAA